Non-coding RNA from Nothobranchius furzeri (turquoise killifish), 5243 nucleotides. The record is from RefSeq and is a predicted model, not a curated record. Lineage: Eukaryota; Metazoa; Chordata; Actinopteri; Cyprinodontiformes; Nothobranchiidae.
CGGUAGGAGGAGUUUGCGGAGCUCUGAAGUUUUGGGAGUCGCGAGCGCGAGACUGGCUCCGUGAGAAGGUUAGUAACGCAAACAAGUGGAGACUUUUAUGUCACCUAGUUAUUUAAACUUAGCUAGCUAGUUAGUAGUUUACAUUUUAGUUUAAAAGUUUUGACAGACCACCAGCUCACCUGUGCAGCACAUGACCUGCGUCACCCGCCGUCACGUGCCACAACACCGAUGAAGAAACUGAGAGGAGUAAAGUAAGCGAUGUGUUUUAACCACCUGGCCGUUGCUGUGCGAGGAUGUUCCUUCAGUAGAACUACUACGGAUCGCAGCGAGGUCUUCUGAUCGGUUAAAUCGGUUAUCCCCUCUUGUUUCGUGACAUUUUAGAGCAGAAAUCGGAGACAACUUCCAUGUGUGUUGAUAUUAAAAAGGGAUUUGCAGGUUUUUGCUCUGGAGGUCUGACUCUAGCUCUGACCUGUUUGGUUUAACUAUCAACUAAAACACGUGUUACUGAAAAGUCCAACUACCUUCAAACGCGUCAUUCUGGAAUAAAAAACCCUUCCAAAUAGAAGAUCUAGAAUUAUUUUCCUAGACUUUCAUUAUUUAGCUUUACAGUUUGGUGCAUUCAAAUCAGAGUCCUGACAGAUUAGAUCAGGGGUGUCAAACUCAAACUCACACGGGGCCGAAAUGAAACUCUGGGACGGAGUCGAGGGCCAAACUUAAUAUUUUUUGAAAAAGUGACGGCAAAUUUGCACAUUUUCUUUAUCAACAUAUAUGCAAUUUUGAACCUUUAAAUUUGGAAACAAACUUAUUUCUGCAUUAACACUGAAUGUGGAAUAACCAAAUGACACACGAACAAGUCAGUUUUAAAUAAAAGGCAUCAGUGGUAUUCAUUACUUGUGGUAUAAUCAGCAUUUUAUAAAUCUAUUCAGGAUUUAUGUUUUCUUGUUUAUUCAUUUUUCUUAUUUUUAUUCUCCUUUUUUCUCCUGUAAUACGUGUCAUCGCUGCUGUGACGUCUAGCUUUCCCCACUGAGGAACAAUAAAGGGAUUUUCUAUUCUAUUCAUCUAUCUGCAGCCUUUCCACUUCCUGUUUACUGUAGGUUAAAUCUUUUCUCACGGGCAACAACAAAAUAAAAUAUCAUUUUAUCUUAAAUGAAAAUGCAACAUCUCACCUGUUAACUUUCAUGUUUUGGAGCAGAAAAAGAGCAUCAAACCAACAUAUUUAAAGCUCAGUUUGCUCCACUGGUUUACUGGGAUGCUCACCUGUUCCAGCCAGAUACCUGCAUCAUGGGGUUGAUCUGAGCUGAGGAGGAGACUCCUGUUGUUUUGUUCAUCUUCAUCAUAAUAAUGACAACAUUAGAUGACAACAGGUGCUCACAUAGGUUUGUGCUGAUGAACAUGUCUGAGCAGCUUGACCACGUUGUUGUGUGUCGGGGAGGAAACACAACCACAGAGUUGUGCUGGUUUGAGCGUGUCGCUGCUCGCUGGAGUUAUAUCAGCUCUGUCUGGACGUUAGUUUGAAAACUUUCUCUUUCAGUCGUGAACACAUUACUGAGCGGCUAGAAUCUCCGUUUCUGGGCUUCAACGUCAGAAAACAGCUGAGUGAACUCGGCGCUGAGUGAGAGGAGUGUAGUUUGUCCGAGACAGCGGAGCUGCAGACACCCAACUACCUCUGACUGCCUCAGUGUUGCCAGAUCCAAAAUCCCACAAUAUCGUACAGAGAGGCUUAAAUUAUCGUUUUUCAGUACAAAUUAUCGUACAUUAUAAAUUUGAUAAUAAUGUUCUAUAAACGACUUCUCACUCCAAUAUAAUAUAACAAAGAAGGUGUUUUAUAUUGCCCUGUUUAAAUAAACAUCUUUAAAACCAGUAAUAUAAUGCUUAUAAACGUGCAGAGUGUGUCGGCACCACUCCGACCUCCACGCAUUGACACAGUAUGCACAUUUGCGCAGUCCUAUUUAUGUCAUCUCUACAUAGGUUAAAAGCACGCGACAAAACAUCACAGCAGUGGAAAAACUGACCCAAUAAAUGACACAGCAGCCUACUCACCUAGUUGCUGAUCUCAAUCUCAUCUGAUUCACUGUCUAUCGCAGCAGAAUGCCUUUAAUCAGCUGUACUAAGUGGUCUGUGCUUCUCAUUGCAAUGUUGUGCUCGGCUAAAAAGCCACAUAGCUUGAUUUCAGCGUUUUUCACAUCACUUUCAAACUUCUCUUUUUCAUUAGUUUGUAGGAGACAUUUAUAAACCUGUGAGCACUGAGGUGAAAUCUGACUUCAGAACAGUUUAAAAUUAUGUAAUUGACUUGAGAAAGCCACAGCAAAAGACGGUGUUACUAGGUGCAAUGUGAAAUUAUCGUACAUUUGAGGAUUUUUGAAACUAUUGAUCGUACAUCGUACAGAGCCCAAAAUUAUGGUACAAAUACGAUAAUUAUCGUACAUCUGGCAACACUGGACUGCCUCGGUGCUGAAAAAAACACAAAGGAGGGGGCACGUCUGCUCCGCGCUGGCGCCGCAAAGCAUCAUGGGAGUUGUAGUCUUUGCGGUAAAAUCGGCCAGCGGGCCAGUUUUAAUAUAUUUUUGAUAUUUAUCUCGCGGGCCACAUAAAAAUGCUCCGCGGGCCGCAUCUGGCCCGCGGGCCUUGACUCUGACAUAUGUGGAUUAGAUCAACAUUUGUCUCUAAUCUCGUGUUUUUAAGUCCCAUUGUGUUUUAAACUGAGGAAAGUUCCCAAAAGGUUUCAGAUCCUGUUCCUACAGCGACGUCAGUGGCUUCAGAGUUCAUGUCCAACUGAUCGUUUCCACAGAUGUGCAGAAUUAAAGUACACACAUGUCGUUGGUAAUAUUAGAUCCAAGAUGAAAUUCGGAUUCUGGGAACUAACUUCCUGGAUGCUAUCCUCUGAUUUCAUCAUGAAGGCUUUGAUAAAGCCUUGUUAUCACAGCAGAAGUUUCCAUCUUUAGACAUUUUUACUCUACAGGUGAAGAAAAUGACAUUUGUUCCUUAUUAUCUCCGUGAUUGUUAGAAAUACCAGUCAAGUCAGACUUUCAGGUCUUUGUCUUCUUGUGUUAAUUUGGACUCUUGUAGCAAAUCUUAACAAACUGAGAUUUAAAAGUGCGUCCAGGACUUCUCAGCGAUGGUGGACCGUCUGCAGCUUGCUCUCCUGGAAGCAUGCGUGGUGGUUGGAGCAUCCAGGGAAAAACUUCAGGAAGCCUUUCGGCUUUCUUUCACGAGGAACGCUUUUGACAGCAACAGAAGCCCAGAGUGAGUCCAGUUAGAACCUGAGGUUCUUCAUGCCUGGUUCCACCCUUUGUUACCAGGCCAGCAGGCGAUGAAGUGGUGAAUUCUGGUGAGAAGGGACAACCUUGUCCAGCUGCAGCAACAACCAUUCAAGGUGUAGUUUUUCUGUAAUACACGAACGAUCCAGACGCCAUUAGAGGAGAAAGAACGAUAAUUCUCUUCUGCACAAGAGAACACCGUGUAAUGGACCGGGACGACACAAGGAUCACACACCGAACAGCAGAAAGACAAAAGAUGGAUAAAAGAAGCUAUAGAGAUGAGGAGACGUGGAUGUGGGACCAUGAACAGGGACGAUGGAGUUUACACGCUGGACCGCACAUGGGACUGCAUCGUCGGAGAGGGCAGAACGGGCAGCAGAGGGCGACAACGCGGAUAAAUGAAGGAAGUGACGCCACCAUCAGCGUCAGCCUGAUGAUGCUUGCAGCUACAAACGAAACGUUGCAGCAAACCGAUGAUUUGGUCGAGUGCUUCCACCUGUUCCUUUGAUGCCGUUGAUGUUCCUGACCCUCCUGCAGCUGCUGCGCCCCGUUUCACACACGUGCCGGUCCCUGCACAUCUACUUUGACUUGGAUCAGAUCCACAGUGUGACGUGCACCAAGAUGGAGGAGCGGCGUGCACGAAGAAGAGCGUGGCAACACGGAUUAAACCAAGACAUCCGAAGAAUCGCACUGGAGCUGAUCGUCAACAUAUUCAGGGAUGUUGGCAGCCAUCUGAACCACGAACAUGGAGUAUUUCACAGUGAAGAGUUCCUUAAAACCAGAGAACCGGGUGAACAGCUGUCUUACAGGAAGGACCCUCUGUACAUGACUCCGGCUCUGACCAACGUCCUGCUGAUGGACGCUGUUGCUCGCUGCCUGCAGACACAGAACUCCAUCUCUGCUGCCUCAAAGCUGGCGUACUUUGAUAAAAUCAAGCAUGAAGCACCUAUGAUUGUACCUGAAACUACCUCAGAGGCUCUGAAGCACAAGAUCAACCCAUCAGUGGGCCUGGCAGAACCUCAGACGGUGCACCUGCUGCUCUACCCUCCAGACCUGCGUGAUGGGGCUGGUCCAGGAUCAGGUGUGGAUGGGAUCUCAGGACUCUGUUAUCUACAUCAUCAACACACUCAGCAUGUGCUGCAACAAGCAGCUGACUGAACACAGACAGGAAGUGACUGGUCUCGCUGUGGACCCCAGACACGUCAACAGCAGGUUGUGGUGACAGCAUUGUGGAGCUCAAAAAGAACGGUACACCACAAAGGACGAUAACACUUCCUGGUGAUUUGCAGAGCAUGCCCAGUAGCUUCAGGUGCUUUGUCGUCACCUCAGAGCGAGGGCUGUUAUUCACAGGCUGCUCAGACUCCGUGGAGUUGUGUCUGUGGCAAACCAACAGCUCCAAACAUCCGCUCAGAAGGAUCUCCCUUCCCAGACCUUCAGGAUCACCUGCAUGAUCCGAACCAGAUCUGGGUGGGCUGCCGUGGGCGGAGCAGUGGUGGAGGUUAUUGUGACGGUCUGUUGAGAAGCUGGGUGUUGGUGGUGGACCUGGACAGCCUCGCUGUGGUGAAGGAGCUGCUGGCCCAUUCCGACAACAUCCAGACGCUCUGCUGAGGACCGCUACGCCCUGAGUGGGUCUGCACGGCGGGAUGGCAAAGUUGAAUAGGACAAAAUGUCAUCACAGAUUUUCAAAGGAGAAACGGACCGAGGGACAGGGAAAUAAUAAACGUGUUUGCAGCAAUAUUGGAGUAAUAAAUGAGGUUUACUGUCGAAAACAGAUCAGUAAAUAUAUAGUUAGACUUUUUUAAUAGAAACAUUUCUAUUUUUGAAAACCUUGUAAAUUCUGCCAUCUGUUUUUGCUGACUUUAAAUACUUCCAUGCAAUGUGACAACUGCCAGAAAUGAUUCAAGUGCUAGUUGUUGUCUAAAAUAUCUGUGAUUGUAUUUUACUGUUUAUUAGAUUAUUAAAUGUUACAUUUAUUUUUGUGUUGAA